CACGCCCUAAACGAUGUCAACUGGUUGUUGGGAAUUCAUUUUCUCAGUAACGAAGCUAACGCGUGAAGUUGACCGCCUGGGGAGUACGGCCGCAAGGUUAAAACUCAAAGGAAUUGACGGGGACCCGCACAAGCGGUGGAUGAUGUGGUUUAAUUCGAUGCAACGCGAAAAACCUUACCCACCUUUGACAUGUACGGAAUCCUGCAGAGACGCAGGAGUGCUCGAAAGAGAGCCGUAACACAGGUGC
Molecule: ribosomal RNA, 247 nt
Filed under: uncultured bacterium
Lineage: Bacteria
Also listed under: 1 other name
Description: partial 16S ribosomal RNA
Rfam family: Bacterial small subunit ribosomal RNA
Source: RNAcentral